UAAGGCACUAUUUUCCUAAAAUGAAAAUUUAAUUAUAACAGAUAAUGUCAUGAAACAACUAAAGUGUAUACUUUUGUGUUGAUCAUUUUGAUUGGUUACUGUUGCAGUAUGUAUCAGGCCCAUAUGCCCAGAUGUCAUAUCAGCCAGGGACACAAGGGGGCGCCAUGCUACAAACCGUUCCAGUUGAGAAUAACUGAUCAACAUUGCCAAAAAAACCUAGAGCCUGAAAGCAAAGAAGUCGGAUACUCGUUGUCAAGACAAACGCAAGGAACUGACCCAUUUCGUCCUGGUUACUCAAAAAAGUAAACAUUGUUAACAUCCAUAGUAAUGGAGCAGGAAAGAUACAGACCAAAACGAAGACAGACUUGAGUGACGUCACCGACAUUACCUGCUGUGUGGUACCGUUGUUAUUACACGGUCUCACAUACUUUCAACGUCAACAAGUGCUUCACGGCAAACUUAUUUAGAUUUUUAAACAAUUUUAUUUGUGAAAGUUAGAAAAGUUUGUGAAUGUUGUUCUGUUCUCCAUUUUGAGUUGUACGUUUACAUGAAGGGAUUGAUAUUUUUGAAACUAUUUUGUGAAAUUGUUUGUUUUUUAUGUUCUAUUGUAAAGAAAAAAACAGUUUUUUUUUAAUCUAUUGAAAUUGUGCUAUUUUUACAUCAAAUUUAUGUGGUCUUUUUUAUCUUAAUGCCACUGUGAUGUUUGUUCAUGAUUCAUCAGUUCAAGAUAGUCUGUUUCGAUGGUACGUUAAAGUAAUAGUGUAGACGUUUGUCAACAUUCAUUUUCAUGUCAAUCUUAUGUUUGUCAACGUCUUCAUUUUUAUGCCAACCUUAAGUUUGUCAACAUGUACAUUUUCAUCUCAACAUAUUUCCCUAUCAACCUUUUUUUUAUAGUGCUUAAAAUACAGCAAUCACAUUGAUUAGUAUAAUAUCCAACUACCACUUCGCCUUCACUUCCACAUCUAUGGGAUGUAGUUAAAGGCGUCGGAAGAUUCCAGCGACUUAGGCGGUGGGAGGGGUCAUUAUAUUAAUUUGAUUUUCAGGUGGGGUAGGGGUAAUGUCUAAUCUUUAGGUUUGUGAGCCUGCCACAACCGCCGCUUCCGAGACUUAUGAUUCUACCACGGAUUUCAUGAUGUUAAAUUUUUUUUUUUAAAGUUCUUUGAAAUAUUGAAAACAAAACUGCUUAAAAAUUAUGGGAAAAAAAUAGAUGGUCUGGUGCUUUGGACCCUCGUCCAAAUCCACGCCUGGUAAGUAGAUCUGCCGUUUUCGUGUUCGGGUGAAGGUUUUUCGCAAAUGUUAUUCAGACGGCAUACAGCAUACAUCUUGUUUAGUGCUGUUAAAUGUAUUCGUUGACUUUGAUCAAAUCUAUUGAUGGGUAUUAAAAUGAGAGUGACUUCGCUCUGAAAAAAGGGAAAUAAUUAAAGGCAAAGUUAUGAGCUCAUCUCGUUAGCAUAUCGAUGUUACAGAUGGUAUUUGCAAUCAUAAAAAAUAAAAUCAGAAACAAUUUUUAAAAUGAUCAAGACCUAUUUUCUUUUAUCCUCGGCUUACCUGUGGCUGUUAUAAAUAGCGCAUCGUUAUUUGGAAACGACGGUUCUUUCAUUACAUUUGUAUAUUUUGCUUUCAUUUAUUUGUUGUGGUCAACACUGGAAUUUUUAUAUCCUUUGCGUAUGUUUCAUAAGAAGUAAAUACAACCAAAACCAAUCCACACUUACCAACCCUACCUUUCUGGAUUGAAUUUGAUAUCAGAGUUUUUAAAAGGUGGAAAGAAACCUUCAUUUCAUUGAUUGUUUUAAAGCAUAGUUUUAAAAAUAUAUAAUUAUAUAAGAGCAUAAUAAAUGCUAAUCUAUUUAGGUUUUCCUUUUUAAAAAAGAAGCGUCUUCCAUUUGAUAUUUAAAUGGAUACGAAUGGUUAACAGUUACACUUCAGUUCAAAGGCAUCAAUUAUCCAUUGUGCUUAAAUCAUCAACUAUGGUAAAUUUAAUACCCACAUCCUUAGUUUAAAAAAUUAAAUAAAUUAUUAUUAUUAUCGAAUAUGCUCACAUUUGAGAAGUUGGGCUGCGACUGGUUUGGAAUGGGAAUAGAGACAGAUAACUAGUUUUUCAAUAUUAAACAUUUAAAUCCAUGGUGCUGAGGGUCAUAUAAUAUAUGUAUAUAUAUAUAUAUAUAUAUAUAUAUACACACACACACACACACACAUCUGACCAGUGCAAAAUGUUAACUAAAACACAUAUUGUUUUAUCUUGGUGAACUAUAAGACUGUUAAGAGGUGAGAGAAAACUACUGACAUUACCAUGUACCAGUUGCAAUGACCAACUUUCAUUAUGGCGCCAAGUGUUAGAGUUAAAAAUAUUGUUUUGUUCAACAACACCACUAGAGUCGCGGAUCAGAGAUGUCGAUAACUGAUGGAAAUGAGGUGUACUCCAAAAAGGAUUAUGGCAUUGGGAGAACGAACUCGAACUGUUGUUUUAUGGUCAGUUCAUCUUGGAAAUGAAAAGAAAAUGUAGGGAAUUCUAAAUAAUUUUAUUCUGUGAGUAAAGAGUAGUGGCAAUUAUGACGCCUUCUACCCUCCAUCCUCCUUGUAAUAUGAUUAAUUCAGAUACAAAUGAGAAGUUAUGAAGAUUUUCGAAGAGUAAUGCCUCAGCCAACACUUCAGUGUUUUUAUUAUUCCAUCAUAUGUAUAUACACGAGUUCUAAACAGCAGAUGUCUUUAAGAAGUAAGGACAAACUUUACCUAAGAACUUAGUUUCACCACUGUGAAAACAAUCCACGGGUACAUGUAUGCAUUUUUAAAAUCAUUAUGAAUGUGUAUUUUUUCUUGUUUGCCGAAAUUGCCUGUUGUGUAUAAAAUGUUUUGACUACACAAUUACGGUUUUGUUGUUUUUAUUGUUGUUUUCAUUCACUGAAUUUGUAUUUGGUGAUAUUUCGAAUGAGAAUUUGUUCUUGGUGUUUGAAUUUGAUUAGGUUUAGAUUCUGUUGUACCUUUUAAAAUUUAUUUUUACUUGACAGAUUCAUUUUAUGGGUGUUAAUGUCUCUAUUCAUCUCUGUCAUUUUGUUGAUGUUAAUGUCUAUCCGUCUGUCCGCCUCUUGUAAUAACUUGACAAAAGUGCUGAGACUUGUACGUACGAUCUUGUUGGUGACUGCUUUGUGUUUUUGUUUUUAUGCAUUUUUACUGUUUUCUAUAUUUGUUAUGUUUAGUGUAAAGUGCAUUUUUAGACGAACGCACUUUUUGUUGUAUAAAGUUGCAUCACAUUUUUUUUCUUAUUUAAACACUGAUGGCUAUUGCCAGCUUCAAAUAUUAUUUUUAUUUUAAGUUAUUUUAAUAAAUCUCCUGAGUUUUUGAUGUAACAUCAUCACUAAACAAAACUGUUCUGUUUUCUUCAUUACUGGUGAAUGUACGUAACAUUUGUUUUACGACUAUUUCAAGAUGACGUCUUUGAGAUAGGCCUAAUUUAUCUCAAUCAGUAUUUUACAGUCUUCUCCAUGGGAUACUAUUUGAACUUUUUUACUUAUCAAGUUCUAAUGAUACAAUUCAUGUUUGAACUAAUAAUCCAGAUAUCUCCUACGCACACAACACGAUUACUUGGACAUACGCUAUACAUGUACCGAAAUAUUAAAUUUCGUAUUUCUUUAUGGUUUCGGUUUGCUGCUUUGGUUACAAUUUAAAAAAAAAAAGAGGUGGUGUAGGGGUCAAUAGGGAUUUGAAAUGCGCUUUCAUAAUAUUUUUUACUUCGACCGCUUUCCUACUCACCACCCCAGCCCAACAACAUCAUGGUUCUUACUUUAAAUUAUUACAAAGUAAUCCGCACUUAUUAAAAUAUCCAUUUUACGGCUUUAUAUAUAUAGCAAUGCAAAGCAGAGUAUUUGUUAUCAAUAGUGUAUACAAUGAAUGUGUCGAAAUAUAGGUUUUGGAAUUUAAUGUGAUAUAUCAUCGAUAUCGGACCAACUCUGCUCAUUAUUGAAAAAUACCUCACUUCAUAAAAACAUCGCUUACUUCACAUUUAAUUCUUCUUAACUUGUUAUCGAUAUUGAUCCAAGGUUAUGCAAAUGUGAACAGUGUGUGCUGUUUUAAAUUACUUUUCAUAGCUACAUUUCCAAAAAUAUUUGUAUAAUCAGUAAAUAUUUAUUUGAAUGUAGCAUAUUCAUUGCAAAACAAAAAUGCAGCUCCAAGUUCAGCGCAUUAAACGUUUCGCUAACGUUCGCGAACGAUUUGAUUUGUUCCCGACGUGGCCAUUUGUUUUACUGUGAAGCGCAUAAACCAGCCUAGCGGACUUUUUUCUGCUCAGUCUGACUGACCUCAGCACUGGUUUAUGUGUUUUCUUCAAAUGUAGCCCGUUAAUAGUAGAAUUAUUAUAUAAAAUUUAAUCUUGAGUUCUCGAAAGAAAAAAAAAAGAACCAAUUAAAAAAGGUAUUUUAAAUUUCAGCAUAACGGUAAUUUCAGCUAUUAAAAGAAAAAACCCCAACAUAUUGUAACAAGCCAAACUUAAUAGUUUGUGUCCAUUUAUUGGAAAAUCGCUUUCUUUUUUUAAUAAUUAAAGUGACACCAAACAUGAGUUCAGGUUUGCAAUUUUUAAGGCAAAUGAAUUGUAUAUACACUGCGAAGUUGGAAAGACAAUAAAUCUCGAUUCAGUGUCAGAAUAGCUUAAUAGUUGAUGAGUAUUACAGUUAUUCAGUGAAUAAUGUCACUAAUAAUGCUAACAAGAUGGAAAUGAGGUCACUAGAAUGACAUGUUAAUGUCCUGAGUCGAGUGUAGUUGGUGUCUCACAUUAAUAAUUUAGAAUUGGUUUAUGCCACAUUAAAUUUACAAGCUGAUGAAUAUUAAUGAUUAUAAAUAUGUUUGCUCUGAUAACUCAGUGUUUUAUUCCAAGAUUCCGUUAUAUAUAUAUUAAAAAUAAAAUAUAACUGUAAAUAGCAGUUUCGUUUUGUACAUUGUGUUUAUUAACAACAUACACGUUUCUCUCUUUUUUUUUCAUUUUAUUUUCUAAUUUACGAUAUGUCUAUCUGCAUCAGAUACAAGAAUAUUUAUGUGUUUGCAACAUAGAUUUUAAUUUAAAUGUAGUUAUUUGAGUGUCUUUUAUUUAUUUAUUUUUGUAUUUGAAUGUUUUUUUUUUUUUAUGUGUUUUGUUUUUCGACAUACCAUUAGAAGUAGCAAGUAUUAAUUUAAUUUGUAACAGUUUUCUAAUCUCAAAAAGACAACUGUUUCCAAGAAUUGAAUAAUGAACUACUAAUAGGAACGAGCUCUUCUGAAAAAUAGACUCCAAAUCGAUGUUUUUUUUAAUUACUCCCCUCCCCCACAACCAUUUAAUUAAAGCUGAUAGAUACUACGAGCUGGUCAAGAUUUUAUAGUAGAAAGAAAUGGCAUAUUUGUUUAAGUACAAUUUAAACUAUGGAUAUUUGGUAUACCAUAUAUAUGGUUAUUUCGACACUUGGUGGAAGGAAGGAAAAGAGGAAACCCCUGUUGCUGCCAAACAAGCGAAUCGUACCCCUACAAUAAAAAAGCAUCAAGGAAUUUUAAUAUACACUUGCUAAAGGCUGGAGAAUACAUACCACGGCCAUUGAUGUACCAUUUGUGGGGCACUGGCUAAGACAGAGAGAAAACACGAAUCCAUCCAGGGUUAUUUCUUAGUAGAGUGCUACUGACAAUUGUAAUCCAGGUCUCGUACAUUUUGUGGUGUAACAAAGACCGUGAUAUGUACUGUCCUGGCUGUGGGAUGGUGCGUAUAAAAAUAGUUUUUCCUGUUAUUUGAAAAACAGAGAGAGAGAGAGAGAGAGAGAGAGAGAGAGAGAGAGAGAGAGAGAGAGAGAGAGAGAGCGAGCAAGGGAGUGAGUAGCCCAUGUCUGUGCCGUUCUUAAUCCUAUGUCUGACGCCAUGUAUUCGUAAAUACAAAUGCGUUGAGUGUGUCAUUUAACAUUCUUCUUCCCGUACAUUUUAUAGCUGGUCAGACUAUUUUGUAAACCGUAUCAAGUCAAAUUCUUCAAAAUUGUAAUGUGUCAUUUUGCGGCAAAACCCUUCAUACUACUAUAAUUGGUUUAGUACAAAAGAAACAAAGAAUCGCCGAAUCAUAGGCGUCGGAAGAUGCCAACAGCUGGGGAGGAAGGG
This 6096-nucleotide long non-coding RNA is filed under the name Gigantopelta aegis. Its description in RNAcentral is "uncharacterized LOC121382212". The record is from RNAcentral. Lineage: Eukaryota; Metazoa; Mollusca; Gastropoda; Neomphalida; Peltospiridae.